Molecule: long non-coding RNA, 662 nt
Filed under: Manihot esculenta (cassava)
Lineage: Eukaryota; Viridiplantae; Streptophyta; Magnoliopsida; Malpighiales; Euphorbiaceae
Description: long non-coding RNA (MESC_LNC007536)
Source: RNAcentral
CGAAGUUCAACAUCACCAAUUACAGCAGUCGCCGGCGGAUGAAGGCGAUCAAGAAGCUGCUCAAAAGGAGUUUCCAUCUUAGUCAUCACAGCUUCAUAAAAUCCAGGAAAAUCAACACCCUUUAGACGCUCAGAUGGGAUGACGUUAGGUAUGGUGGCGAAGACGAUGGAAUCAUCAGGCUUUGGCUCAGAGCUGAGGUAGCCAAGCCACUCUUCAGUGACGACUAAGGUGAUGAGAAUAUCAGGUUUUCUUGAAGCUAAAAGCUUGCAGAUAUUCAUCAUGGGGUUGAUGUGGCCUCUUCCAGGAAAUGGCAUCGCCACCACAUGGCAAACUGCGGCAGAUUCUGAGUUCAUGUCUCAAGAAAUUCUAGAAUUAUGAGAUUCCUAUUCUCAGAUGAAACAAAAACAUGAACUAGGUUUAAGACAACCGCUUGUGAAAAGAUUAAACUGUUUUUUCUCUGUGGUUAUUGUCUUUUUUUUUCAUAAUACAAUAAUGGAAAGUGAUGACUCACAACCUAACCACAUAGUUUUUUGCCAUUAUUUAUAUUUCUUUAAUUCUUUUACCUUUCCAGCGUAAUACGCAAUUGACAAUGUCAUGGAUGUUUUUAGUCUGUCAUCUUGUGUUUUGUAUUACAAUCAAAUUUAUAUCUUGAAAAAUCCUUU